UACGGGAGGCAGCAGUGGGGAAUAUUGCACAAUGGGCGCAAGCCUGAUGCAGCCAUGCCGCGUGUAUGAAGAAGGCCUUCGGGUUGUAAAGUACUUUCAGUCGUGAGGAAGGUGUUAAGGUUAAUAACCUUAGCAAUUGACGUUAGCGACAGAAGAAGCACCGGCUAACUCCGUGCCAGCAGCCGCGGUAAUACGGAGGGUGCGAGCGUUAAUCGGAAUUACUGGGCGUAAAGGGCACGCAGGCGGUUAAUUAAGUUGGAUGUGAAAUCCCCGGGCUUAACCUGGGAAUGGCAUUCAAGACUGGUUAGCUAGAGUCUUGUAGAGGGGGUAGAAUUCCAUGUGUAGCGGUGAAAUGCGUAGAGAUGUGGAGGAAUACCGGUGGCGAAGGCGGCCCCUGGACAAAGACUGACGCUCGAUGUGCGAAAGCGUGGGGAGCAAAC
Molecule: ribosomal RNA, 440 nt
Filed under: uncultured bacterium
Lineage: Bacteria
Description: bacterial SSU rRNA
Rfam family: Bacterial small subunit ribosomal RNA
Source: RNAcentral